GGGGAGCGUUCUGUAAGCCUGUGAAGGUGGCCUGUGAGGGUUGCUGGAGGUAUCAGAAGUGCGAAUGCUGACAUAAGUAACGAUAAAGCGGGUGAAAAGCCCGCUCGCCGGAAGACCAAGGGUUCCUGUCCAACGUUAAUCGGGGCAGGGUGAGUCGACCCCUAAGGCGAGGCCGAAAGGCGUAGUCGAUGGGAAACAGGUUAAUAUUCCUGUACUUGGUGUUACUGCGAAGGGGGGACGGAGAAGGCUAUGUUGGCCGGGCGACGGUUGUCCCGGUUUAAGCGUGUAGGCUGGUUUUCCAGGCAAAUCCGGAAAACCAAGGCUGAGGCGUGAUGACGAGGCACUACGGUGCUGAAGCGACAAAUGCCCUGCUUCCAGGAAAAGCCUCUAAGCAUCAGGUAACAUCAAAUCGUACCCCAAACCGACACAGGUGGUCAGGUAGAGAAUACCAAGGCGCUUGAGAGAACUCG
RNAcentral lists this ribosomal RNA (470 nucleotides) under Escherichia coli. Its description in RNAcentral is "partial 23S ribosomal RNA". It matches the Rfam family "Bacterial large subunit ribosomal RNA", at positions 1231 to 1702 of the family's 2925-position model. Lineage: Bacteria; Pseudomonadati; Pseudomonadota; Gammaproteobacteria; Enterobacterales; Enterobacteriaceae. The record is from RNAcentral.